UGCAACCCCCAGCCCAGGAGGAGACUUGACUCGCCUGAGGUCAGCUGGAGCCAGGAACACCUUUGUGCAACAGCUGCCGUGGCCCAUCUGUGAGAGACACGUGGACCCCGUGCCUCGAAACAGGUCCUGGGAGUGGUGUAGGCACCAUGAUCCCCUCAGAAGAUUCAGGGGAAAAAAAAAAGGCCAAGCAAUAAAUGAAGUGAUUUCCAGCAAGGGAGUGCCGUGCGGGGCAGCUCUCGAAGAGGUGGCUUCUCACUCCUGCCGCGCUGAGCCCUGAGCAAGACGGAGCAGCUCUGCACCCAGAGGGGCUGAGCUUACGGGCAGAGAGAGCUGCCUGGGCAGAGGCCCUGCAGGAGGACACAGCGGGAGGGAAGAUGGGCUGACUUUGAGGGCUUCCUGGGCCACGGGAAACAGCAUCAAGCAGCCCCAGGAGGUUAGCCAAGAGUGGGCAGGUGUGCGACUCAGUAAAAGUCAGUUCCUCAGUUUACCCAGUUUACCCAGUAGGAAGGCCACAGGUCCACCAUCUGAGCCCUGAUGACGCCUGAGCCAGGUUUCCUGCCUCUGAGGAAAUUCCAAUUAGAUGCAGGCGAGAUGUGCUGGGCUGAUAAGGCACUAACAAUGGCCCAGGGCAGAAAGCGAGCAGGGCCAGAGGCAGGGCCCAGAGCCCAGAGGCUGCGAGACCGGAGAGGCUGGGGCGGCCAAGACCUCCUUCACGCCUGGGGUCUGGGUGUGGGUGGGGGCCGCCUUGCAUCAACCUGGGGGUAGGGAAGGGAGGAGGUCAGGCACGGCCAGGACUCGUACAGCAGCGGGGUGUCCAGGGCGUUGUGUGAGUGUCCCAUGGCUGCCCUGACAAAUCACCACAAGCUUAGAGGCUGAAACCUCGCAGCUGCUUCUCUCCUGCUUCUGCAGGUCAGAAGUCAGACAUGGCUCUCACUGGGCCAAAAUCCGGAUGUCGACAGGGCUGGUUCCUUCUAGAGGCUCUGGGAAGCCCUGGUCCUUGUGCUCCCAGCUUCCAGGCCACCCGAAUUCCUUGGCUCCUGGCCCCUUCCUCUUUCUCCAAAUCCAUCAUUGGAGCAUCUUCCAGUUCCUCUCUCUGAGUGUGAUGCCCCUGGCUCCCUCCUGUGAGGGCCCCGGGGUUCCUCAGGCCCACUGGCUAAUCCAGGACACACACCCGCCCCCCACAUCCAGGUCCUUCACUGAAUCAUGUCUGCAGAGUCCCUUGGCCACCCAAGUUAACACAGUUGCAGGUGCAGGGGUUAGGACGAGGGGCACCUUUGGGGAUUGUUUGAGCCUGCAGGGUUGACGUCAAGGUCAACAUUUCUGGGCUGGAGAUUCAGGACCCCGAGGUCAGGGUCGGGGACAGGACCGAGCUGCCAUCUACAGGGGUUUGAGGGGACUGAGAAGCCACAGAAAAUCUCAUCGUAGGAUGUGGCUGUUACACGCAGCCAACACCAACAGGCGAGGGGUUGUGGAGCCCUGCGAAUCCCAGACUUUGGAGCAAGAAGCCCUGGCUUGGCCUCUCACCAGCUGUGCGCCCCGGGGCAGGUCACUCUGCCUCUCUGAGCUUCACUUUCUGCAAGUGAGGGGCAGGGAGCAGAAGAGGCCCUGGCUUUCCAGGGCUUGCGGGGACAUCUGUGGGAGGAUAUUUGUAACCUGCAUGACACAGUGCCCGGCACAUGGUAGGUGCUCAACCUGUGAUGGCAACGUCCCAUGGGCCAUCCCAGCGGGGCCUGGGGAAGAAGGUGACAUGACCCACCCAAGACCACUUUACAAGGCGAGAAAGUAAAGCUUGUCCCGAGAACAGCUACAUGACAGCUGAGGGAUCAGAGACCUGGGCAAGCCACAGAGGGCGCUUAAUGAAUGCGUGUCGAAUGAAUGAACAAGUGACUGUGAGGUGGCAUUAGAUGGGGACGGAGGAGCCGACGGGGUGCCCUGGGUCCUGUGCAGGGGAGGGGGCCACAGAGAGAGGAAGUGAGGCUGCUGAGCACUGCCCAGGACGGAUGGACAGAGCCACUGGGGCAGGGCCGGGGAGGGCAGAAGCUGGAGCGUAGCCGAGGCCCCCGCCCUCUUGCUGGCUAGAUGUUUAACUCUGGUGAAUGGCCCUGAGCGGGCACCACACCAGCCUGGAGUCUGCUCCCGGGAGGGGCGGACACAAAGCCUGCAGGCCAGGGGCCUCCUGACCAGAGCUGCCUGUCCAGGGCUCAGCCCAGAUGGGGAUCAGCUCCUCUUCCAGGCGGGCUUAGGGGGCUUCACGUGUACUUCCUGUCUGAGAAGCGCUGGUGUGGACACCCAUGGAAGAAGGCAGUGUUGUAAGCACGGGGACAGAGACGUACGUGAGCAGAUGGAACCCCCGAAGACCUGCAGCUGUCAUCCUGGGACUGUGUGCCCGGCACUGUGCUAAAUGCUCCCUGGGGCAUCUCGUGUAACCUUUGCAGGAACCCUAAAAACGACGAUCAGAUUAGCCUCCUCCUCUUGAAAAUGGAGACAAAAUUCAAAUAACAUAAACUUCACCACUUUAACCAUUUUAUUUUAUUUACAUAUUUUUUUUGAGACAGAGUCUCGCUCUGUUGCCAGGCUGGAGUGCAGUGGUGCGAUGUAGGCUCUCUGCAACCUGGGCCUCCCGGGUUCAAGCAAUUCUGUCUCAGCCUCCCGCGCAGCUGGGACUGCAGGGGUGUUCCACCACACCCAGCCAAUUUUUGUAUUUUUAGUAGAGACAGGGUUUCCACAUGUUGGCCAGGAUGGUUUCGGUCUCUUGACCUCAUGAUCUGCCCGCCUUGGCCUCCCAAAGUGCUGGGAUUACAGGCAUGAGCCACUGCACCUGGCCCACUUUAACUAUUUUAAAGGGUACAAUUCAGUGGCGUUCAGUGCAGUCAUGAGGUUGUGCAGCCACCACCUGUAUCUCAUUUCAGAAUAUGCCCAUCACUCCAAAAGGAAAACCCUAUCCCCACGAUCCGUGGUUCCCCAGCCCCCUGGCCCCCAGCCCUAAGCAGCCACUAAGCUGCCUUCUGUCUCUACGGAUUGCCGGUUUUGGGUAUUUCAUGUCGAUGGGAUCAGUGUGUGGCCUUGUGUCUGGCUUCUGUCUCCAGGCAUAUGUUGUCAAGGGCUAUCAUUCCUUUUCUUGGCCAAAUAAUGCUCCAUGUUGUGGACACAUCGUAUUUUGUUUAUCCGUUCACCUGCUGAUGCAUGCCAGAUGGUUGUUUCCAACUUUUUAAUUCCCAUUAUAAAGAUAAGGAAACUGGCCAGGUGCGGUGGCUCAAGCCUGUAAUCCCAGCACUUUGGGAGGCCAAGGCGGGUGCAUCACCUGAGGUCGGGAGUUUGAGACCAGUCUGACCCACACAGCGAAACCCCGUCUCUACUAAAAAUACAAAAAAUCAGCUGGGCGUGGUGGUGUGAGCCUGUAAUCCCAGCUACUCAGAAGGCUGAGGCAUGAGAAUCACUUGAACCUGGGAGGCGAAGGUUGCAGUGAGCUGAGAUCGCGCCACUGCGCUUCAGCCUGGGAGACAGAGACUCUGUCUCUAAAUAAAUAAAUAAACAAACAAAUAAAUAAAUGUAAACUGAGGCUAAACCGCUCCACUCAGGGUCAACACCUGCCCUGUGACCCAGCAGUUCCACUUUUCGGUAUUUAUCUAGGAGAAAUGAGAACACAUGUCCACACAAAGACCUGUGCACAAAUGUUCACAGCAUCUUUCUCUGUAAUAACUUCGAGCUGGCAACGAUCCAAAUAUCCAUCCACAGGAGCUGGGUAAACAAACCGUGGUGUCAUCCUGGAGUGGGACGCUCCUCAUCAGGAAAGAGGAAAGAAUGACCCAUGCACGCAGCAGCUUGGAAGAGUCUCAAAAACAAGAUGCCAAUGAAGGAAGCCAGGCACGGGACUGCAACUGUAAGCUGUGACUCUGUGUGACUCCAGCGGUACGAACUUCCAGGAAAAGCAAAAAUAUGGGACAGAGUAUCCACAAGUGGCAUUCAGGGACUGGAGUGGGAACUGGCAGGGAAAGGGGAAAUGUAUUGAUUAUUUCGAUUGCAGUGGUGGGGAGGAGGGUGGACACCUGUGCCAAACUCACUUAAAACGGAUGUAUUUUAUUGUAUAAAUUAUGCCUCAAUGAAAUCCAUUCAUAAAAAGA
This 4121-nucleotide long non-coding RNA is filed under the name Homo sapiens (human). Its description in RNAcentral is "HSALNT0387475". The record is from RNAcentral. Lineage: Eukaryota; Metazoa; Chordata; Mammalia; Primates; Hominidae.